AACAGAAAAUCCUCUUUCUGCACUUGAAUGAAUAUGAUACUGAGAACGUGUUGCUAGAGAAUAAUAAAAGCACUACUUUUCCAUACUAGUUUUUCUUAUAUAUACAUUUACAACCCGUUCUAUCAAUAUAUUUUAAUUCUUUAUUGAACGCGGAGCAAUGAGAAGAUAUUUCUAAUUAAGGAAAACUGUUACUACCUCAGGCCAACCUAAUAUGCUAUUCUAUAUUAAGGAAUAGACUACGCGCGAAUUCAAAAAUUCUCUGAUAACGACUUUUAAAUAAUUUUAUGCAACAUAUUAAGGCACAUGAAAUUUGCCAAUUGCCUUCUUCAAGAAUGUCGCACGUUAUAAAAGUUAAGUUAAACAGUUUAGUUUC
Molecule: non-coding RNA, 373 nt
Organism: Schizosaccharomyces pombe (fission yeast)
Lineage: Eukaryota; Fungi; Ascomycota; Schizosaccharomycetes; Schizosaccharomycetales; Schizosaccharomycetaceae
Source: the annotation of a GenBank genome assembly